AAUUGGAGGGCAAGUCUGGUGCCAGCAGCCGCGGUAAUUCCAGCUCCAAUAGCGUAUAUUAAAGUUGUUGCAGUUAAAAAGCUCGUAGUUGAAUUUCGGGAUCAAUAUUUCGGUCAUGCCGUUGGUAUGCACUGUUAUCAUUGAUUUCUCACCUUCUAAAGAACCGUAAUGCCAUUAAUUUGGUGUUACGGGGAAUUAGGACUGUUACCUUGAAAAAAUUAGAGUGUUUAAAGCAGGCUCACGCUUGAAUACGUUAGCAUGGAAUAAUGAAAUAGGACAUCCGAUUCUAUUUUGUUGGUUUCUAGGAUCGAUGUAAUGAUUAAUAGGGAUAGUUGGGGGCAUUAGUAUUCAAUUGUCAGAGGUGAAAUUCUUGGAUUUAUUGAAGACUAACUACUGCGAAAGCAUUUGCCAAGGAUGUUUUCAUUAAUCAAGAACGAAAGUUAGGGGAUCGAAGACGAUCAGAUACCGUCGUAGUCUUAACCAUAAACUAUGCCGACUAGGGAUCGGAUGAUGUUAAUUUUUUAAUGACUCAUUCGGCGCCUUACGGGAAACCAAAGUGU
Molecule: ribosomal RNA, 560 nt
Filed under: uncultured Glomus
Lineage: Eukaryota; Fungi; Glomeromycota; Glomeromycetes; Glomerales; Glomeraceae
Description: SSU rRNA
Rfam family: Eukaryotic small subunit ribosomal RNA
Source: RNAcentral